GAUGAACGCUGGCGGCGUGCCUAAUACAUGCAAGUCGAGCGAACAGACGAGGAGCUUGCUCCUCUGACGUUAGCGGCGGACGGGUGAGUAACACGUGGAUAACCUACCUAUAAGACUGGGAUAACUUCGGGAAACCGGAGCUAAUACCGGAGAAUAUAUUGAACCGCAUGGUUCAAUAGUGAAAGACGGUUUUGCUGUCACUUAUAGAUGGUUCCGCGCCGCAUUAGCUAGUUGGUAAGGUAACGGCUUACCAAGGCAACGAUGCGUAGCCGACCUGAGAGGGUGAACCGCCACACUGGAACUGGGACACGGUCCAGACUCCUACGGGAGGCAGCAGUAGGGAAUCUUCCGCAAUGGGCGGAAGCCUGACGGCGCAACGCCGCGUUAGUGAUGAAGGUCUUCGGAUCUUAAAACUCUGUUAUUAGGGAAGAACAAAUGUGUAAGUAACUAUGCACGUCUUGACGGUACCUAAUCAGAAAGCCACGGCUAACUACGUG
Molecule: ribosomal RNA, 497 nt
Filed under: uncultured bacterium
Lineage: Bacteria
Description: partial 16S ribosomal RNA
Rfam family: Bacterial small subunit ribosomal RNA
Source: RNAcentral